UAAGUACUUCCUCCGGUCCAAAAUUCUUAUCUUAGCUUUGUCUGGAAAUGAAUGUAUCUAAAUACUAAAACUUGACUAGAUACAUUUAUAUCUAGACAAAUCUAAGACAAAAAUUUUGAAACGGAGGGAGUAUUAA
This is a non-coding RNA of Hordeum vulgare subsp. vulgare (domesticated barley), 136 nucleotides long. NCBI's taxonomy places the organism in Eukaryota, Viridiplantae, Streptophyta, Magnoliopsida, Poales, Poaceae. The record is from Rfam.